This 505-nucleotide ribosomal RNA is filed under the name uncultured bacterium. Its description in RNAcentral is "partial 16S ribosomal RNA". It matches the Rfam family "Bacterial small subunit ribosomal RNA", at positions 28 to 507 of the family's 1533-position model. The record is from RNAcentral.
GACGAACGCUGGCGGCGUGCCUAAUACAUGCAAGUAGAACGCACAGUUUAUACCGUAGCUUGCUACACCAUAAACUGUGAGUUGCGAACGGGUGAGUAACGCGUAGGUAACCCGCCUGGUAGCGGGGGAUAACUAUUGGAAACGAUAGCUAAUACCGCAUAAUAUUAAUUAUUGCAUGAUAAUUGAUUGAAAGAUGCAAUUGCAUCACUACCAGAUGGACCUGCGUUGUAUUAGCUAGUAGGUGAGGUAACGGCUCACCUAGGCGACGAUACAUAGCCGACCUGAGAGGGUGAUCGGCCACACUGGGACUGAGACACGGCCCAGACUCCUACGGGAGGCAGCAGUAGGGAAUCUUCGGCAAUGGACGAAAGUCUGACCGAGCAACGCCGCGUGAGUGAAGAAGGGUUUCGGAUCGUAAAGCUCUGUUGUAAGAGAAGAACGGGUGUGAGAGUGGAAAGUUCACACUGUGACGGUAUCUUACCAGAAAGGGACGGCUAACUACGUG